Molecule: transfer RNA, 81 nt
Filed under: Staphylococcus aureus
Lineage: Bacteria; Bacillati; Bacillota; Bacilli; Caryophanales; Staphylococcaceae
Description: tRNA-Ala
Rfam family: tRNA (bases 7-78)
About the family: Transfer RNA (tRNA) molecules are approximately 80 nucleotides in length. Their secondary structure includes four short double-helical elements and three loops (D, anti-codon, and T loops).
Source: RNAcentral
GGAAACAUAGAUUAAGUUAUNUGGGAGAGCGCCUGCUUUGCACGCAGGAGGUCAGCGGUUCGAUCCCGCUAGUCUCCACCA